Molecule: ribosomal RNA, 431 nt
Filed under: uncultured bacterium
Lineage: Bacteria
Description: partial 16S ribosomal RNA
Rfam family: Bacterial small subunit ribosomal RNA
Source: RNAcentral
AACGAACGCUGGCGGCAGGCUUAACACAUGCAAGUCGAACGCCCCGCAAGGGGAGUGGCAGCCGGGUGAGUAACGCGUGGGAACAUACCCUUUUCUACGAAAUAGCUCUGGGAAACUGGAAUUAAUACCGUAUACGCCCUACGGGGGAAAGUUUUAUCGGGGAAGGAUUGGCCCGCGUUGGAUUAGCUAGUUGGUGGGGUAAAGGCCUACCAAGGCGACGAUCCAUAGCUGGUCUGAGAGGAUGAUCAGCAACAUUGGGACUGAGACACGGCCCAAACUCCUACGGGAGGCAGCAGUGGGGAAUAUUGGACAAUGGGCGCAAGCCUGAUCCAGCCAUGCCGCGUGAGUGAUGAAGGCCUUAGGGUUGUAAAGCUCUUUCACCGAUGAAGAUAAUGACGGUAGUCGGAGAAGAAGCCCCGGCUAACUUCGUG